AGAGUUUGAUCCUGGCUCAGAUUGAACGCUGGCGGCGUGCUUAACACAUGCAAGUCGAGCGGUAACAGGUGUAGCAAUACAUGCUGACGAGCGGCGAACGGGUGAGUAAUGCUUCGGAAUCUUCCUCGUAGUGGGGAAUAACCUGGGGAAACUCAGGCUAAUACCGCAUACGAACUACGGUUGAAAGCAGGGGAUCGCAAGACCUUGCGCUAUGAGAUGAGCCGAAGUCGGAUUAGCUAGUUGGUGAGGUAAAGGCUCACCAAGGCGACGAUCCGUAGCUGGUCUGAGAGGACGACCAGUCGCACGGGCACUGAGACACGGGCCCGACUCCUACGGGAGGCAGCAGUAAGGAAUAUUGGUCAAUGGACGAAAGUCUGAACCAGCCAUGCCGCGUGGAGGAUGAAGGUCCUCUGGAUUGUAAACUUCUUUUAUAUGGGACGAAAAAAGGCUUUUCUAAGUCGUCUGACGGUACCAUAUGAAUAAGCACCGGCAAACUCCGUGCCAGCAGCCGCGGUAAUACGGAGGGUGCAAGCGUUAUCCGGAUUCACUGGGUUUAAAGGGUGCGUAGGUGGGUUGGUAAGUCAGUGGUGAAAUCUCCGAGCUUAACUUGGGAACUGCCAUUGAUACUAUUAAUCUUGAAUACCGUGGAGGUCGGCGGAAUAUGUCAUGUAGCGGUGAAAUGCUUAGAUAUGACAUAGAACACCAAUUGCGAAGGCAGCUGGCUACACGAGUAUUGACACUGAGGCACGAAAGCGUGGGGAUCAAACAGGAUUAGAUACCCUGAUAGUCCACGCCCUAAACUAUGGAUACUCGACAUUUGCGAUACACAGUAAGUGUCUGAGCGAAAGCAUUAAGUAUCUCACCUGGGAA
RNAcentral lists this ribosomal RNA (870 nucleotides) under uncultured bacterium. RNAcentral's name for it is "bacterial SSU rRNA". It matches the Rfam family "Bacterial small subunit ribosomal RNA", at positions 8 to 879 of the family's 1533-position model. The record is from RNAcentral.